Molecule: long non-coding RNA, 624 nt
Organism: Photinus pyralis (common eastern firefly)
Lineage: Eukaryota; Metazoa; Arthropoda; Insecta; Coleoptera; Lampyridae
Exons: 3
Source: RefSeq, a predicted model, not a curated record
UUCAUUUAUGGCGAUGCCGAACAGGGAACAACUGAGUGUUGACCCCUGCGGCACACCAUUUUCUAAAACAUACUCUUUGGAGUUGAUAUCGCCGAUUCUUACACAGAACUUCCUAUCCUCUAAAAAGGAUUUUAUAAAUUUAGGUAAAUUCCCUCGAAGAUUGUUUUUAUACAUAUUUUGCAAUAUUCCAUAUCUCCAAGUCAUGUCAUAAGCACCUUUUAUAUCGAAGAAGACCGCAACCAGAUGUUCACCACUGUCAAAUGCCCUCAGAAUUCUGUCUGUCAGUUUGACCAGAUGGUCUACCGUUGACCGUCCUUUCCGAAAACCAGUUUGGUAAGGCACGUAUACGUUAUUGCUUUCGAGAAAUGUUUGUAGCCGCACAUUAACCAUUUUUUCUAGCAGUUUUCCCAAGCAAGAUGUCAAACUAAUUGGGCGAUAACUUUGUGCCUGCAACGGAUCUUUUCCUGGUUUCGGUAUAGGAAUUACGAUGGCUUGCUUCCAUUCUGAGGGAACUACAGUGGCGAAGCAUCUGGUUAUGGAUAGCGUCUUCUCCCGGUGAACAUGACUUGGUGUUACGGAUUGCUGCCUCCAAUUCUUCUACAGUAAAAGGUUUGGUAUCUAGAA